GAUGAAGAACGCAGCGAAAUGCGAUAAGUAAUGUGAAUUGCAGAAUUCAGUGAAUCAUCGAAUCUUUGAACGCACAUUGCGCCCGCCAGUAUUCUGGCGGGCAUGCCUGUUCGAGCGCCAUUACAACCCUCAGGCCCCCGGGCCUGGCGUUGGGGAUCGGCAGAAGCCCCCUGUGGGCACACGCCGUCCCUCAAAUACAGUGGCGGUCCCGCCGCAGCUUCCAUUGCGUAGUAGCUAACACCUCGCAACUGGAGAGCGGCGCGGCCAUGCCGUAAAACACCCAACUUCUGAAUGUUGACCUCGAAUCAGGUAGGAAUACCCGCUGAACUUAAGCAUAUCAAUAAGCGGAGGA
RNAcentral lists this unclassified non-coding RNA (352 nucleotides) under soil metagenome. RNAcentral's name for it is "partial contains 5.8S ribosomal RNA, internal transcribed spacer 2, and large subunit ribosomal RNA". The stretch from base 1 to 120 matches the Rfam family "5.8S ribosomal RNA", at positions 35 to 154 of the family's 154-position model. The record is from RNAcentral.